This 26-nucleotide non-coding RNA is filed under the name Drosophila erecta. The record is from RNAcentral. Lineage: Eukaryota; Metazoa; Arthropoda; Insecta; Diptera; Drosophilidae. RNAcentral also lists the same sequence under 1 other name.
UAGACAGACAGUUGGGAGAUGGUUAA